UGCCUCAGUAACGGCGAGUGAAGCGGCAAGAGCUCAAAUUUGAAAGCUGGCUCCUUCGGAGUCCGCAUUGUAAUUUGCAGAGGAUGCUUUGGGUGCGGCCCCCGUCUAAGUGCCCUGGAACGGGCCGUCAGAGAGGGUGAGAAUCCCGUCUUGGGCGGGGUGUCCGUGCCCGUGUAAAGCUCCUUCGACGAGUCGAGUUGUUUGGGAAUGCAGCUCUAAAUGGGUGGUAAAUUUCAUCUAAAGCUAAAUACUGGCCGGAGACCGAUAGCGCACAAGUAGAGUGAUCGAAAGAUGAAAAGCACUUUGAAAAGAGAGUUAAACAAGCACGUGAAAUUGUUGAAAGGGAAGCGCUUGCGACCAGACUCGCCCGCGGGGUUCAGCCGGCAUUCGUGCCGGUGUACUU
RNAcentral lists this ribosomal RNA (403 nucleotides) under Aspergillus niger. Its description in RNAcentral is "eukaryotic LSU rRNA". It matches the Rfam family "Eukaryotic large subunit ribosomal RNA", at positions 76 to 474 of the family's 3401-position model. The record is from RNAcentral. Lineage: Eukaryota; Fungi; Ascomycota; Eurotiomycetes; Eurotiales; Aspergillaceae.